GCAGGGCCCCUGACUGGGUGUGGGUGGUGGGGGUGGUAGUCGGGCGGUUCAGCCCUCCUCCUGUGGCUGCUCUGAUUGGACCCUCACGCCUGACCUUUGCGGGUCAUUGGAGGUGUCAGGUAGGAGCUCGGAGCUCUUAAUGGAAGACUCUGAGCUCUCCUGGAGGAGUGGCCAUGCCAGCAUUAAUGACAGCUGCUGUGGCCCUGAGGUUUGUGGACUGGUGAGGUGGGGCUUCCUCAGAAACGGGCACCUGUUGGAUGAUGCUAGAACCCAUGGGACCAUCAGGCUGCUGACCUUGUGGCCGAGCCUUGGAAGGCUCCUUGACUGGGCAGUGUCAGAUGGAGGCCGGUUAGCCGCCUGCUGAAAGCCCUGGAGGUCAGGGGGUUGCCCAGCUGCCCCCACCCUGGUUUGUGGUGGCACCACGCAUGUGCUAGGUGGCUGGACUGCUAAGCUUCUUCAGAUCAGGGCCUGGAUGAUGUGAUCCUGAGCCUUGCCCAGGGCGUGUCUGAUGGACUCCUUCCUGUCUGCUUAUGCUGGCUCCUGGGCAUUUCUCAGUUCAGGGCUUGCUCUGUCCAGACGCAUGUCGUCUUGGCCUGGGCCUCAGGCGCAGCCGUGAGGGGUCACGAGGCUCUUCUGUCUCCACAGGGCCCCCUCCUACGCUGGCUCAAGGUGAACUUCAGUGAAGCCUUUAUUGCCUGGAUCCACAUAAAGGCCCUGAGGGUGUUUGUGGAGUCCGUGCUCAGGUAUGGACUACCAGUCAAUUUUCAGGCAGUGCUCUUACAACCUCAUAAGAAGUCAUCCACCAAACGUUUGAGAGAAGUGCUGAACUCCAUCUUCAGACAUCUGGAUGAAGUCGCGGCUGCAAGUAUAUUGGAUGCAUCUGUGGAGAUCCCAGGAUUACAGUUUAAUAGCCAGGAUUAUUUUCCUUACGUCUACUUCCACAUUGACCUCAGUCUUCUUGACUAGACAGGUCAGCGGGCACUAAGCUUCCACAUCCACGCAAACUGCUACAGAUGCUUCUUUUAGCCAGAGAAUCGU
Loxodonta africana (African savanna elephant) is the source of this 1038-nucleotide RNA transcript. RefSeq lists it as uncharacterized. The transcript is spliced from 3 exons. The record is from RefSeq and is a predicted model, not a curated record. Lineage: Eukaryota; Metazoa; Chordata; Mammalia; Proboscidea; Elephantidae.